Molecule: transfer RNA, 74 nt
Filed under: bacterium
Lineage: Bacteria
Description: tRNA-His
Rfam family: tRNA
About the family: Transfer RNA (tRNA) molecules are approximately 80 nucleotides in length. Their secondary structure includes four short double-helical elements and three loops (D, anti-codon, and T loops). Further hydrogen bonds mediate the characteristic L-shaped molecular structure. tRNAs have two regions of fundamental functional importance: the anti-codon, which is responsible for specific mRNA codon recognition, and the 3' end, to which the tRNAs corresponding amino acid is attached (by aminoacyl-tRNA synthetases). tRNAs cope with the degeneracy of the genetic code in two manners: having more than one tRNA (with a specific anti-codon) for a particular amino acid; and 'wobble' base-pairing, i.e. permitting non-standard base-pairing at the 3rd anti-codon position.
Source: RNAcentral
GUGGGCUUAGUUCAGCUGGUUAGAACGCCUGACUGUGACUCAGGAGGUCGUGAGUUCGAAUCUCACAGCCCACC